RNAcentral lists this ribosomal RNA (370 nucleotides) under uncultured organism. RNAcentral's name for it is "bacterial SSU rRNA". It matches the Rfam family "Bacterial small subunit ribosomal RNA", at positions 526 to 896 of the family's 1533-position model. The record is from RNAcentral.
CGUAGGGUGCGAGCGUUAAUCGGAAUUACUGGGCGUAAAGCGUGCGCAGGCGGUUUUGUAAGACAGAUGUGAAAUCCCCGGGCUCAACCUGGGACCUGCAUUUGUGACUGCAAGGCUAGAGUACGGUAGAGGGGGAUGGAAUUCCGCGUGUAGCAGUGAAAUGCGUAGAUAUGCGGAGGAACACCGAUGGCGAAGGCAAUCCCCUGGACCUGUACUGACGCUCAUGCACGAAAGCGUGGGGAGCAAACAGGAUUAGAUACCCUGGUAGUCCACGCCCUAAACGAUGUCAACUGGUUGUUGGGUCUUUACUGACUCAGUAACGAAGCUAACGCGUGAAGUAGACCGCCUGGGGAGUACGGCCGCAAGGUUG